This 395-nucleotide ribosomal RNA is filed under the name uncultured bacterium. RNAcentral describes it as "bacterial SSU rRNA". It matches the Rfam family "Bacterial small subunit ribosomal RNA", at positions 30 to 426 of the family's 1533-position model. The record is from RNAcentral.
AUUGAACGCUGGCGGCAUGCCUUACACAUGCAAGUCGAACGGCAGCGGGCCUUCGGGUGCCGGCGAGUGGCGAACGGGUGAGUAAUGCAUCGGAACGUGCCAUUGAGUGGGGGAUAACGUAGCGAAAGUUGCGCUAAUACCGCAUAUUCUGUGAGCAGGAAAGCAGGGGGACCGCAAGGCCUUGCGCUCUUUGAGCGGCCGAUGUCAGAUUAGCUAGUUGGUGAGGUAAAGGCUUACCAAGGCGACGAUCUGUAGCGGGUCUGAGAGGAUGAUCCGCCACACUGGAACUGAGACACGGUCCAGACUCCUACGGGAGGCAGCAGUGGGGAAUUUUGGACAAUGGGGGCAACCCUGAUCCAGCCAUGCCGCGUGAGUGAAGAAGGCCUUCGGGUUGU